ACUCGAUGUCAUCAGUACCAUGGAAUGAAGUGAAAUGCUAGCUGGCCAAGAUAGAGGGAUAAGAAAGAGGGGUAAUGUCUUCGCAAUCUUCCAGUAAUUUUCCAGUAUGUUAUUAACCUCAGUCUGUACAGUGUUAUAACAGCAAAACUAGUGUGUUUCAGGAUCACCGUCUCCACUCCGUCAUGUCCGUCUGACCAAUCCUGCAAAUGUACACAAUAUAUUCAACUCAAAUGUCUCUUAAAAUUACCAAAUAAAAGAGCGUCUAUAUGUACUACACUAAAUUAUAGUGGAAUAAAUAUGACAUGUGCA
Molecule: long non-coding RNA, 309 nt
Filed under: Musa acuminata (dwarf banana)
Lineage: Eukaryota; Viridiplantae; Streptophyta; Magnoliopsida; Zingiberales; Musaceae
Description: long non-coding RNA (MACU_LNC004793)
Source: RNAcentral